This 266-nucleotide ribosomal RNA is filed under the name uncultured bacterium. Its description in RNAcentral is "partial 16S ribosomal RNA". It matches the Rfam family "Bacterial small subunit ribosomal RNA", at positions 88 to 354 of the family's 1533-position model. The record is from RNAcentral.
CCGGCGACCGGCGCACGGGUGAGUAACACGUAUGCAACCUGCCCUCUUCAGGGGGACAACCUUCCGAAAGGGAGGCUAAUCCCGCGUAUAUCGGUUUCGGGCAUCCGAGAUCGAGGAAAGAUUCAUCGGAAGAGGAUGGGCAUGCGGCGCAUUAGGCAGUAGGCGGGGGUAACGGCCCACCUAACCGACGAUGCGUAGGGGUUCUGAGAGGAAGGUCCCCCACACUGGUACUGAGACACGGACCAGACUCCUACGGGAGGCAGCAG